Vespa velutina is the source of this 4050-nucleotide long non-coding RNA. RefSeq lists it as uncharacterized. The record is from RefSeq and is a predicted model, not a curated record. NCBI's taxonomy places the organism in Eukaryota, Metazoa, Arthropoda, Insecta, Hymenoptera, Vespidae. The transcript has 3 exons.
GAACGUCAAUUUCCAUUGGGAAUUUCCUGGUUAUUUUCACUCACCUAAAUCCUUUCGUUUACGUAUCUCUACCUCAAUCUAUGUACGUUGUUACAAUAUACAGCAUGGCUUUAUCAACGAUAUAAAUACGACGAAAGCGUAAUAAUUCGAAAUGAACGGUGGCUUCGUGAAACAUCGUACAGUUCCGACGAAAGAACUUGGAAUACGCAAUCGUCGCUUGACGGCACGACGGCUCCCUCAAACGUAAGAGCUGAAUUCGCAUCUUGCAAAACUCUGCUCCUCGUCUCUGGCACGCACGAGGCGCCGACGAGAAACGUCUGAGAUGAUGAUGAUGAUGAUGAUGAAUAAGAAGAAGAAGAGGAGGAAGAAGAAGAAGAAGAAGAAGAAGAAGCAGAAAGUAAACCGACGUGUCUGGGACACAGCGCACUUACAUGCGGUGAGUUACAACACGCUCGGCCCGUGCUUUAUAAUAGCGACCAACCGUCGCUAUACCGACUUCCCGACUGCCUUGGCUCGUCUUCGGUAAAAAUAGACCAUCGAAAAGCGACACCUCAGGAAUCGGUGGCCCGUUGUGCCGUCACGACAGAUCUCGCGUUCCUCUGUCUCUUUUUCUCUUUCUCUUUCUUCCUCUUUCUAACUUUCUACGUUCGAUGUUCUUCGCUGACUUGGCCCGAACAACUCUCUCUAAGAUAGUUUACACUCUGGGGUAGUUGCCCUUGAUUCACCUCAGUGAAACAAUUCUUUGUAGCCAUGAAAAUGAAAUACCGUUUCUUUGAAAUAAAAGGAUACCGAUGAAGUGUGAAUUCAAAAGGAAAGAAAGGAAAGAAUGGAAAUUAAAGGAGAUUAUGAUUUUCUUUUGAAAAUGUAGUGUUAAAAAGUAACUAAAUGAAAUACGUGUUGUGUAUCUAUAUUCUGUAAAUACAUUCGACAUAGUUUGAAAUAUCAAUGAUAAAAUUUACAAAUGAUUUAUAUACAAAAAAUAAUAUCUGAUAGUUAUAUCGAAUGUAUUUCUAUUUUUAGAUUUUUGUUUUUCCUGAAGGUGACAAAGUUAUUGAAAUUAUCAUCUAAAUAAUACACUUAUUCCCAGUCAUCGGUAUUAAUAUCUGUAACAAUAUCUGUAUUUUCUGUAGGUAUGUCGUCUUCUUCAGAUACUUUCUUAUUUGUUGUUUUUAUUUUCUUUUUUGAUUUUUUAUUAGAUCUCCUUGCAGAUGUAUUCACUGCUUUCUCUACUUCUGUUCCUUUUAUUUGUAACUCAAAGUCACUUUCUUCUUCGCUACCUAUAUCUUCUUCAUUUGACUUCUUCCUUUUUGAUUUCCUUAAACUUGGUAAAUUAUAUUCACUAAUUUCAUCAUUUUUCGUUAAAUGUUUUAAUUUCUGAGCUUGAUGAAUCUUAAUCCAGGAAUUAUAAAAUUUCGCUAAAGCUGUACCCUGAAUUUUCAUUCUAUUUUCCCAAUUUUCAAUUUCUGUCAUAUUUUUCAAAUUGAAUAUUUCCUUGGCUCUUUCAUUUCCUAUAUAUUUUGAAUUUUCUUCUAUUUUCUCUAGCAAUUGCUUUAAUUUCUUGCAAUAAUUUGCGACAUGACACUUUUUCAAAAAUACUUUCAACUGUAAUUAAAAUAUUUAUAUAUUGGAUAACAAAUUAUGUAUGUAUGUGUAUUGAAAAUAAUAGAAUAAAAUGCUAUACUUACUUGUAUUAUGCAAGGAAAAUAUAAAUCGGGAAAACAUACUAAGUGGCUAUCGUUUGCUGCAUUUUCUAAUAUUAAACGAUAGAUAGCAUCAAUUACACUAUCUUUAAAACCAUUCUCUUGUAACUGUGAUUUAGACAUUCUUAAUAUGCAAAUUAAAGAUAUGGGUUUCAUUGAUACAGCUUUAUGCUUUUUAUUAAAAUCAUAAGACGAUAAUAUCUGAAAUCAAUAUUAUAAUAUAUUUCUUGAAAUAUUUAAAAACGUAGAUAUUUAUUUAUAUAUAUUAAAUAAUUACUAUACCUCCAAUAGAAAUGGUAAAAUAGGUAUGAAAGUUUUUGUUUCCUUAGAAAUGUUAGUUAACAUUUGUAAACAGUGGAAACGUAAAGGAUAAUAUUGUUGAGUCGGUAUUACUUUAAUUGUUCCAAUAAUAAUCUGCAAGUAUACAAUUAAUAAUUACCAUCUAUUUAAUUAAAUAAUUUAUUUGUAAUAUGAUCAUAUACAUACUUGUACUAAAGGAUAUAAUAAAGAGUGCAAUAUUGAUUCCUUUUUUGAUAAUGUUAUUAACUUAGACCAGAAGAAUAAUGAAUUUAUAUACUGCCAAUUAUAUACUGCUUGAAAAUUUUCCUAUAAAAUAAAAUAAUGUUAUUAGGUUAAAUAAUUAAUAAUAAUAAUUAUAUAAUUACCUUUUUCUUCAAAGUUACUGCAUUCCUUAAAUGAAUAGCAAGCUGUCUGAUAUAUAAAAAGGCAUGAUUGUAAGAAAUAUCAGAAUCUAGUAGAUAAAUCUCUGUUAAAGAAUGCCUCAUAAAAUUUAUUCCUGGCAAAGUAUUUGGUGAUACAAAUUUGGAAUUUUCUACAUACUUGACGUACAUCGACUAAAAGAUAUAAUUAGAAUUUAAUUAUUUAUGACAUAGUUAUUUACAUUGUAACAUAAACCAGAAAAUAUAACUUUACCUUUAAUAAUGUAUCAAGUAAAGAUUCUUUAUGACUAGUUGCAAUACGUAAUAUACAUAAAAACGCAACAACUCUGACAGUUUCUUCACCAGUUGACCAAAAUUUUAAUAAGACCUUCAAUAAUGGUUUCUUUAAUGAGGAGAAUGAUUGAGUAUAUGGUAACAUUUCAUGUAAAUGUUUUAAAAGUAUUGUUUGAAUGUUAGCUGAUGAAACAUUACGUAAAAUCUAUCAAAAAUAUUGUUAUUUUAAUAUAAACAUUGCUACACAAUUAUUUAUGUUAUAAAUAUUAGAACGAUACCAACCGUAAGUAAAUCAGUUAAAUAUAAUUUUAAUGAAUUUUUAACUUUGAUAAAUCUUUUGCAUUUAUGUGCUGCAAAAUGUGUAUUAGUAUCCAAUUUUAAAAAAUUUCUGAAUGCAUUAGGUAAAUGCAAUAUACAUAAUUGAAUGACUCCAUUAAAUACUGAAAUUGUAAUUGUUAUUACAUUUACUAAUUAUAAAUACAUUAAUUAGAUAUAUCACUUGAUAAAAUUUACUUGCGCUUCCUUCUACUUUAAAUUUUAUAAAAUUUUCUUCUUGUGUUUCUGAUAUGGUUUCCAACGCAGCAUGGAAAGCUUCGACCGCAAUUUUAAUAGACUUGGAUGUUCUAACCAAAUAAAAUUGUAAAUAAUUAUAAAUUUAUAAUAUAAUAAUAAUAUAUAGUUAUUUUAAUAAUUAAAAAUAUAUAAAAACAUUACUUGUCAUUUUGAAUAUCAUUCUGCCAAACUUUUAAUAAUUGUAGGGUAACUUUUAUUUGGCCACCAGAUGAUAUAUCAUUAAUAUCUUCAGGUUCAAAAUCACUUUCAUCGCUAGCAACCUAUGAUUUUAUAAUGAAUUAAAUAUAAAAGUAUAUUAUUAGAACAUAUUGAUAUUUUGUAUUGUUAUUUUAAAUAUAUAUAGUAUUUCUAUACCUCUAAUUUAUCAUUAGGUUUAUGAUAUAAUUCAGAUUCAUCGGCAUCAAAUUCAUUAUAACUAUCGUAAUCUGUAUCGGAUAAAUUGAAAUCUAAUAGAUUUUUAUCAUUUUCUUUUAAAUAAGAAUAAAAUUCUAGAUCCGUUUCUUUUAAUUUCAUCAAUGACUUCUUGUGUUCUUCUGGAUCCAUAUCGCUAUCGCUGCUUUCAAUAUCAUCGAUUUUUUGUAUCUUUUUAUUGCCUGAUUAUUAAAAAUAUGUAAUUUAGAACCGUAUAUGUAUACAUAUAGAAUAGGAUUUACAUAUGUAAAAUUAUAUAUAAAUACCUGUUUUUUCAUUCUGCCAAUGUUUAUCCUCCUUACUAUCAUCUUCUUCAAAAUCUUGUUUAAAAUAUUUAUCCUUAGAAACUUUACUCUCAGAUUUUUUUCUUUUUUUAACAGAUAUAUUUGAAUGUCUUAUUCCUUUCUUUGUCU